RNAcentral lists this long non-coding RNA (945 nucleotides) under Phoenix dactylifera (date palm). Its description in RNAcentral is "long non-coding RNA (PDAC_LNC016691)". The record is from RNAcentral. Lineage: Eukaryota; Viridiplantae; Streptophyta; Magnoliopsida; Arecales; Arecaceae.
UUGUGGGAACUCCCUUGUGAAGAGCUCGGUGGGAGAAGAAGGAAGAAAGGGAGCAGUCCCCUCCCCUGGUGGGGAAGAGGAGGAAUGCCCAUCUCGGUUCAUGCUGGGCCUUUUUAUAGGCUGCAGACCUCCUUCUCCUCCUUCUUAUUUUACGUCGAGAUAAGGAUAGAUUGAAGCUGGAUGAAGCUGCGAGAUCUCUGCUGGCUCUAGUCCCGAUCGCUUGAACAACUUGUGAGGAUAAUCUCAUGUUUUAUUUUGUUGUAACAGGAGAUCCGACAAAGAUGAGUUGGCUGGGAGCUUAUCCGUGGAGAUGGGAAUGAACUGGGAACGGAGACGUGAGAGGAUCUCGGCCUGCUGGGUGGAGGCAGUCGGUUGGGAACGAUCUGGGAUAUAACUUGGCUUGAUUCGUGAUGAAGAUAAGAUGGCUUGAAGGGGAGGUAAGCUGGAACUUUGAACACGGAAGGAACAAGGAUGCAGGGGAUGAGAAUUGGUUCCGAAACAGGGGAUAAACUUGUAAUCCGAGAUGCAGGGGAUUUGAUGCGGUCGUGGGAUGAAGAUAGAUCAUGAACGCAUCCGGAGGGAGGCUGGGACGGACGCGGAGGAGAUGAGGAUUUGGUCCUGAUGCUGGGAAGAAAUGAAGAGCUGUGAGCUGGGAUUUGAUCUCAUCCGAAGAGGAGUUUUGUUUUGAGGCAGGGGAUAAGGAUGCGGAAGAAGAGCUUGGACUUUAUCCGUGGGAUAAGGAUGAUCUCGGAUGCGUGGGACGUUGCUGGAUGGAAACGGAUGGGAGCAAGCUGAGAGAUGUGAUCCGGAUGUUGGGACUCUGUUCCGAAAUAAGAGAAGGCUGUGAGCUCAUCCGUAGAUAGGGGCGGGAUGAUGUGGAAGCCAAUCUUGGACGGGAGGAAAGAUACGCUCUGUUUAAAGGCAGGGGAAAACGUGUGGAUUUGG